GUGCUUGCUUGGCAGCUCAUCUACUAACAUUGGAACGAUACAGGGAAGAUUAGUGUGGCCCCUGUGCAAGGACGACACGUAUGUUCCUGAAGCGUUCCAUAUUUUU
Small nuclear RNA from Equus asinus (donkey), 106 nucleotides. The record is from Ensembl. Lineage: Eukaryota; Metazoa; Chordata; Mammalia; Perissodactyla; Equidae.